This 253-nucleotide ribosomal RNA is filed under the name uncultured bacterium. Its description in RNAcentral is "partial 16S ribosomal RNA". It matches the Rfam family "Bacterial small subunit ribosomal RNA", at positions 524 to 776 of the family's 1533-position model. The record is from RNAcentral.
UACGUAGGGUGCAAGCGUUAAUCGGAAUUACUGGGCGUAAAGCGUGCGCAGGCGGUGAUGUAAGACAGUUGUGAAAUCCCCGGGCUCAACCUGGGAACUGCAUCUGUGACUGCAUCGCUGGAGUACGGUAGAGGGGGAUGGAAUUCCGCGUGUAGCAGUGAAAUGCGUAGAUAUGCGGAGGAACACCGAUGGCGAAGGCAAUCCCCUGGACCUGUACUGACGCCCAUGCACGAAAGCGUGGGGAGCAAACAGG